AAGACAUGCAGUUGAGCGCUGAAGGUUGGUACUUGUACCGACUGGAUGAGCAGCGAACGGGUGAGUAACGCGUGGGGAAUCUGCCUUUGAGCGGGGGACAACAUUUGGAAACGAAUGCUAAUACCGCAUAAAAACUUUAAACACAAGUUUUAAGUUUGAAAGAUGCAAUUGCAUCACUCAAAGAUGAUCCCGCGUUGUAUUAGCUAGUUGGUGAGGUAAAGGCUCACCAAGGCGAUGAUACAUAGCCGACCUGAGAGGGUGAUCGGCCACAUUGGGACUGAGACACGGCCCAAACUCCUACGGGAGGCAGCAGUAGGGAAUCUUCGGCAAUGGACGAAAGUCUGACCGAGCAACGCCGCGUGAGUGAAGAAGGUUUUCGGAUCGUAAAACUCUGUUGGUAGAGAAGAACGUUGGUGAGAGUGGAAAGCUCAUCAAGUGACGGUAACUACCCAGAAAGGGACGGCUAACUACGUGCCAGCAGCCGCGGUAAUACGUAGGUCCCGAGCGUUGUCCGGAUUUAUUGGGCGUAAAGCGAGCGCAGGUGGUUUAUUAAGUCUGGUGUAAAAGGCAGUGGCUCAACCAUUGUAUGCAUUGGAAACUGAUAGACUUGAGUGCAGGAGAGGAGAGUGGAAUUCCAUGUGUAGCGGUGAAAUGCGUAGAUAUAUGGAGGAACACCGGUGGCGAAAGCGGCUCUCUGGCCUGUAACUGACACUGAGGCUCGAAAGCGUGGGGAGCAAACAGGAUUAGAUACCCUGGUAGUCCACGCCGUAAACGAUGAGUGCUAGAUGUAGGGAGCUAUAAGUUCUCUGUAUCGCAGCUAACGCAAUAAGCACUCCGCCUGGGGAGUACGACCGCAAGGUUGAACUCAAAGGAAUUGACGGGGGCCCGCACAAGCGGUGGAGCAUGUGGUUUAUUCGAAGCAACGCGAAGAACCUUACCAGGUCUUGACAUACUCGUGCUAUUCCUAGAGAUAGGAAGUUUCUUCGGACACGGGAUACAGUGGUGCAUGAUGUCGUCAGCCUCGUGUCGUGAAGAUGUUGGGUUAAGUCCCGCAACGAGCGCAACCCC
This 1068-nucleotide ribosomal RNA is filed under the name Lactococcus lactis subsp. lactis. Its description in RNAcentral is "bacterial SSU rRNA". It matches the Rfam family "Bacterial small subunit ribosomal RNA", at positions 50 to 1105 of the family's 1533-position model. The record is from RNAcentral. Lineage: Bacteria; Bacillati; Bacillota; Bacilli; Lactobacillales; Streptococcaceae.